GGGUCCCGUGUCCCCGUCACCCCCGAGAAAGUACGUGGGGUCCCGUGUCCCCGUCACCCCCGAGAAGGUACGUGGGGUCCCGUGUCCCCGUCACCCCGAGAAGGUACGCGGGUCUCGUGUCCCCGUCACCCCGAGAAGGUAUGUGGGGUCCCGUGUCCCCGUCACCCCGAGAAGGUAUGUGGGGUCUCGUGUCCCCGUCACCCCGAGAAGGUACGCGGGUCUCGUGUCCCCGUCACCCCGAGAAGGUAUGUGGGGUCUCGUGUCCCCGUCACCCCGAGAAGGUAUGUGGGGUCUCGUGUCCCCGUCACCCCGAGAAGGUACGCGGGUCCCGUGUCCCCGUCACCCCGAGAAGGUACGCGGGUCCCGUGUCCCCGUCACCCCGAGAAGGUACGCGGGUCCCGUGUCCCCGUCACCCCGAGAAGGUACGUGGGGUCCGUGUCCCCGUCACCCCGAGAAGGUACGUGGGGUCCCGUGUCCCCGUCACCCCGAGAAGGUACGCGGGUCCCGUGUCCCCGUCACCCCGAGAAGAAUCUUGAUUUUCCUUGCAAUGGGUGCAGUCGAGCCCUCACAAACGUUCUGCAGACCUGUGUGCAGUAACCAUCCCGUGCCAGGCUCUGGGCCAAAAGCCUUGGGGAGGAAGUUAAGGAGCCCUCACCUGACCUGAAGUGAGUGCAGCCUGGAAGAGGAGGCAGACUCGCGCAAUAUCCACCUUGUGUAGAAAGUGCCAUAAAAAUGUCAGAAAUGUGUCAUGGAUCCACUUUGACUGUAAAGACUUAGGUAGAUAAAGUAAAUGGAUAGAAAAAGAUACACCAUGCAAACGUUAAUCAAAUGAAGCAGCUGUAUGAGUCCCAGACAAAGGAGACUUCAGAACAAGGAAUAUCACCAGAGACAAAAAGGUGUAUUCUUUAAUAAUAAAGAGGUCAAUUUUCCAAGAA
This is a long non-coding RNA of Pongo pygmaeus (Bornean orangutan), 935 nucleotides long. RefSeq lists it as uncharacterized. Lineage: Eukaryota; Metazoa; Chordata; Mammalia; Primates; Hominidae. The record is from RefSeq and is a predicted model, not a curated record. The transcript is spliced from 2 exons.